ACGUUCGACACCUACGGAGGCAGCAGUGGGGAAUAUUGCACAAUGGGGGAAACCCCUGAUGCAGCAACGCCGCGUGAGUGAAGAAGUAUUUCGGUAUGUAAAGCUCUAUCAGCAGGGAAGAAAUGACGGUACCUGACUAAGAACGCCCCGGCUAACUACGUGCUAGCAGCCGCGGUAAUCUGAGCGGGCUGGCAAGGC
RNAcentral lists this ribosomal RNA (198 nucleotides) under uncultured bacterium. Its description in RNAcentral is "partial 16S ribosomal RNA". It matches the Rfam family "Bacterial small subunit ribosomal RNA", at positions 326 to 539 of the family's 1533-position model. The record is from RNAcentral.